AUUGAACGCUGGCGGCAGGCCUAACACAUGCAAGUCGAGCGAGCGGCGGACGGGUGAGUAAUGUCUGGGAAACUGCCUGUUGGAGGGGGAUAACUACAGGAAACGGUAGCUAAUACCGCAUACCAUCAGAUGUGCCCAGAUGGGAUUAGCUAGUAGGUGGGGUAACGGCCCACCUAGGCGACGAUCCCUAGCUGGUCUGAGAGGAUGACCAGCCACAAUGGAACUGAGAAACGGUCCAGACUCCUACGGGAGGCAGCAGUGGGGAAUAUUGCACAAUGGGCGAAAGCCUGAUGCAGCCAUGCCGCGUGUAUGAAGAAGGCCUGCGGGUUGUAAAGUACUUUCAGCGGGGAGGCGUUACCCACAGAAGAAGCACCGGCUAACUCCGUGCCAGCAGCCGCGGUAAUUC
Molecule: ribosomal RNA, 406 nt
Filed under: uncultured bacterium
Lineage: Bacteria
Description: partial 16S ribosomal RNA
Rfam family: Bacterial small subunit ribosomal RNA
Source: RNAcentral